AGAUUGAACGCUGGCGGCAGGCCUAACACAUGCAAGUCGAGCGGUAGAGAGGUGCUUGCAUCUCUUGAGAGCGGCGGACGGGUGAGUAAUGCCUAGGAAUCUGCCUAGUGGUGGGGGAUAACGUUCGGAAACGGACGCUAAUACCGCAUACGUCCUACGGGAGAAAGCGGGGGACCUUCGGGCCUCGCGCCAUUAGAUGAGCCUAGGUCGGAUUAGCUAGUUGGUGAGGUAAUGGCUCACCAAGGCGACGAUCCGUAACUGGUCUGAGAGGAUGAUCAGUCACACUGGAACUGAGACACGGUCCAGACUCCUACGGGAGGCAGCAGUGGGAAUAUUGGACAAUGGGCGAAAGCCUGAUCCAGCCAUGCCGCGUGUGUGAAGAAGGUCUUCGGAUUGUAAAGCGCUUUAAGGUUGGAGGAAGGUUGUAACCUAAUACGUUGCAACUUUGACGUUACCGACAGAAUAAGCACCGGCUAACUCGUGCCAGCAGACCG
RNAcentral lists this ribosomal RNA (494 nucleotides) under uncultured soil bacterium. RNAcentral describes it as "bacterial SSU rRNA". It matches the Rfam family "Bacterial small subunit ribosomal RNA", at positions 26 to 517 of the family's 1533-position model. The record is from RNAcentral.